CCUACGGGCGGCAGCAGUGAGGAAUAUUGGUCAAUGGGCGAGAGCCUGAACCAGCCAAGUCGCGUGAGGGAAGACGGUCCUAUGGAUUGUAAACCUCUUUUGCCGGGGAGCAAAAAGCGGUACGUGUACCGCAUCGAGAGUACCCGGAGAAAAAGCAUCGGCUAACCCCGUGCCAGCAGCCGCGGUAAUACGGGGGAUGCGCGCUGUAUCCGGGUUUAUUGGGUUGAAAGGGUGCGCAGGCGGCGCGUUAAGUAAGCGGUAAAAUUUCGGGGCUCAACCCCGACGCGCCGUUGAAACUGGCUUUCUAGAGUGGGCGAGAAGUAUGCGGAAUGCGUGGUGUAGCGGUGAAAUGCAUAGAUAUCACGCAGAACUCCGAUUGCGAGGGCAGCAUACCGGCUCCCAACUGACGCUCAGGCACGAAAGCGUGGGUAUCGAACAGGAUUAGAUACCCGUGUAGUC
RNAcentral lists this ribosomal RNA (459 nucleotides) under uncultured bacterium. RNAcentral's name for it is "partial 16S ribosomal RNA". It matches the Rfam family "Bacterial small subunit ribosomal RNA", at positions 338 to 795 of the family's 1533-position model. The record is from RNAcentral.